RNAcentral lists this ribosomal RNA (369 nucleotides) under uncultured bacterium. RNAcentral's name for it is "bacterial SSU rRNA". It matches the Rfam family "Bacterial small subunit ribosomal RNA", at positions 527 to 896 of the family's 1533-position model. The record is from RNAcentral.
GUAGGGUGCGAGCGUUAAUCGGAAUUACUGGGCGUAAAGCGUGCGCAGGCGGUUCGUUAAGUCUGAUGUGAAAGCCCCGGGCUCAACCUGGGAAUGGCAUUGGAAACUGGCGAGCUGGAGUAUGGCAGAGGGGGGUGGAAUUCCACGUGUAGCAGUGAAAUGCGUAGAGAUGUGGAGGAACACCGAUGGCGAAGGCAGCCCCCUGGGCCAAUACUGACGCUCAGGCACGAAAGCGUGGGGAGCAAACAGGAUUAGAUACCCUGGUAGUCCACGCCCUAAACGAUGAUCACUAGGUGUUGGGGGAGCGAUUCCUUGGUACCGUAGCUAACGCGUGAAGUGAUCCGCCUGGGGAGUACGGUCGCAAGAUUA